AAUAAAUACAGUUUUGCACUGUUUAUGUCUAACGUUUGGCCAUUCGUCAUAUUUAAAAAUUUAUUAUGAUUACUAUUUUUAUUGUUAUUAGGUGAUAAAAUAUGAAUAAUACUUUAUGUGUGACUAAUUUUUUUUAUAAUAUUUUCAAAUAUAAGAUAAACGGUUGAUACGGAUACCGACGGCUGCACUUAUU
Molecule: microRNA precursor, 193 nt
Organism: Oryza sativa Japonica Group (Japanese rice)
Lineage: Eukaryota; Viridiplantae; Streptophyta; Magnoliopsida; Poales; Poaceae
Rfam family: MIR812 microRNA precursor family
Source: Rfam